CGCCUCCCCCCCCCCCCCCCAGCCGCCAGCCUUCAGCCCUGAAAAGGAGGUCUCUACCCCGGGUUUCUGCUGCUGGUGGAACCGGGCGGGGGACAAGGCGGGUUCACCCAGGAUGCGAACGGGGCGGUCCUCUAGGAAGGCUUGGCCGGCUUACAAGACUAGAGUCAAUCAGUGGGGAUGUCGGGCAGACCAGGGGUGAUGACCAGAGCCCACGAAAUGGGGGUCUUCAGGAGUGCGAGGCGCGCAGAAAGGCAUGGGAGGGCCUCGGAACCGCGGCCCUGGCGCGGGUGUGCAGAAGCUUAGAUCCGCCCACCCAAGAGCUCCUAAUGGCCCGGUACAGGGAGGCGAGGAUAGCAAUGGGGGCGGGGGCGGGGGGAGGGUUCUUCUCGGUGUUUCGAGUAACAUCAAGCCGGGAGGCAGAGCUGUUCAAGGUGAAUCCUAGAUGGCUCCUAGGCCCUUUCCCCUGGGAGAGGAAAGAAAGAAGUUUCUCCUCAAGCCAUGGUUUGCAGGAAGAACUCAGGCGUGGGAAGAGGGCAGAGGGGGACAGGACCCAAAAUGAAGACUCAGAAACUGAAAAUACAGCAGAGAGUAGGGCAGAGCAUAAACAUUUGGUCCAAAUGGUUGGAGACACUGUUGAUAACAGAGGAAACCUGGGAAUUGAUGCACGUCUAUAUGCUGUUGCCUCUCCUUUUUCCUGCACUUCUAAGGGCUCAUUUGCUCAGUUGAGAUCAUCCAGGUAUGGAUAAGGAGAGACGGCUCUUGUUACGAGUUGAAUUAUAUCCCCCAAAGAAGCCAGCACCCAGGCAAGGAGUCCAUGUCAUAAAAUGACCUACACCUCUGGAGACAGAUCUGCUUUGGUGGGAGGCCCUACUGUUCCUCAGCGUUUUAACCUUGGGGAAAUUACUGAGUCUGUCUUCUGUUUCAAUUCCUUAUCUGAAAUAUGGGGAUGAUGGUAAUAAAGAGGUUGUUGCGAGCA
This 976-nucleotide long non-coding RNA is filed under the name Felis catus (domestic cat). RNAcentral's name for it is "lncRNA (ENSFCAG00000043282.2)". The record is from RNAcentral. Lineage: Eukaryota; Metazoa; Chordata; Mammalia; Carnivora; Felidae.